UCCAGCAGUUGAAGAUUCACCCAAGAAUUGGAUCACCUUUUGUGCUAAUUCUUUUUGGUCGUUCUUUGUAUUUGCUAUCCUUGAAUCACCCGUUGUUGUAUUAAAUUUUGGGAUGUAAGUUGUAGCAUUAUGAUUUAAUAAGCUGUUUGAGUUUGCCGCAGAUGGAGUUUUUGCAUUCCAGAGUACAAUUGCAGCUUUUCCU
RNAcentral lists this long non-coding RNA (202 nucleotides) under Nicotiana benthamiana. Its description in RNAcentral is "long non-coding RNA (NBEN_LNC000565)". Lineage: Eukaryota; Viridiplantae; Streptophyta; Magnoliopsida; Solanales; Solanaceae. The record is from RNAcentral.